Molecule: ribosomal RNA, 213 nt
Filed under: Avena occidentalis
Lineage: Eukaryota; Viridiplantae; Streptophyta; Magnoliopsida; Poales; Poaceae
Description: internal transcribed spacer 2
Source: RNAcentral
UAAACACGCUCCCAACCCCUUACGGGGGAACAGGAUGCGGCAUUUGGCUCCCCGUCACCCAAGGGCGGUGGGCCGAAGAUAUGGCUGCCGGCGCAUCGUGUCGGACACAGCGCGUGGUGAGCGUCCUCGCUAUACUUACCGCAGUGUCUCCGACACRUAGCCGGCGUGAUGGCCUAGAAUGACCCUUGUAACGGUGCGCAUGACGCUCCGACC